Molecule: ribosomal RNA, 750 nt
Filed under: Streptomonospora sp. YIM 90614
Lineage: Bacteria; Bacillati; Actinomycetota; Actinomycetes; Streptosporangiales; Nocardiopsidaceae
Description: bacterial SSU rRNA
Rfam family: Bacterial small subunit ribosomal RNA
Source: RNAcentral
CUGGCGGCGUGCUUAACACAUGCAAGUCGAGCGGUAAGGCCCUUCGGGGUACACGAGCGGCGAACGGGUGAGUAACACGUGAGCAACCUGCCCCUGACUCCGGGAUAAGCCGGGGAAACCCGGUCUAAUACCGGAUGGGACGCCUCGUCGCAUGGCGGGGUGUGGAAAGGUGUCUUUCCGGUCAGGGAGGGGCUCGCGGCCUAUCAGCUUGUUGGUGGGGUGAAGGCCUACCAAGGCGAUUACGGGUAGCCGGCCUGAGAGGGCGACCGGCCACACUGGGACUGAGACACGGCCCAGACUCCUACGGGAGGCAGCAGUGGGGAAUAUUGCGCAAUGGGCGGAAGCCUGACGCAGCGACGCCGCGUGGGGGAUGACGGCCUUCGGGUUGUAAACCUCUUUUACCACCGACGCAGGCCCGCGCUUCUGUGCGGGUUGACGGUAGGUGGGGAAUAAGGACCGGCCAACUACGUGCCAGCAGCCGCGGUAAUACGUAGGGUCCGAGCGUUGUCCGGAAUUAUUGGGCGUAAAGAGCUCGUAGGUGGCGUGUCGCGUCUGCUGUGUAAGUCCGGGGCUUAACUCCGGUUUUGCAGUGGAUACGGGCAUGCUAGAGGUAGGCAGGGGAGACUGGAAUUCCUGGUGUAGCGGUGAAAUGCGCAGAUAUCAGGAGGAACACCGGUGGCGAAGGCGGGUCUCUGGGCCUUACCUGACGCUGAGGAGCGAAAGCGUGGGGAGCGAACAGGAUUAGAUACC